ACUACGCUCACCUCCUGCCGCUCAGGGGUGCUCCUCCUCCUGUCUCUGUCCGCCGGGCCUCCCCCAGGAUGCAGCCUCCCUCUGUCCUUCUCCAGGCCCGGUGGAGCUGCUGUCAGCCUCACGGCCCCCCUCCCCGCCCCGUGGACCGUGGCCUCAUCACACUGUCUUGGGUCCUCUGAACGCCGAUUGUGCCACCAGGCUGCCGACCGGGCGGACCGGGGUUUGCUGUUGUACUUGGGAUCAGCAGAGUUCCUGGCACAAAGUGUACCAACAAAUGUUCCUGUAAUGAAUGAGUGAGUGAUGGUGAGGCGGAUGCCUGGCUUCGGUGACCUCGGGAGGGCUGCCCUCAGCCGCUCCGCGGCCUUCAUGGUUUCCUCCCUGACUCUCCUUCCCCACCUCGUGUUUCCCCGUCAGCUCCGUGGAAAAUGGAAGUUCCUAUGGCCAGGAGCCUCAGCUGUCCCUAACUACCUGAUGAUGUCACUGUAGCCAGCAGGGCAGGAUGAGUUCCACUGGGAUUUUUGGGCAGUUUGUGGAUCAGUGUAUCAAGGCCAUGGGAUGAUAAUGGAAGAAGUGGUACCUUGCAAUUUUUCCAACAGGAAGAAACCUACUUUACUACCCCAGUAGGAGGAAGGAAGAUUUUCUCCUGGCCCAGCAACAGCCCAGCCAAUGA
Manis pentadactyla (Chinese pangolin) is the source of this 670-nucleotide long non-coding RNA. RefSeq lists it as uncharacterized. NCBI's taxonomy places the organism in Eukaryota, Metazoa, Chordata, Mammalia, Pholidota, Manidae. The record is from RefSeq and is a predicted model, not a curated record. The transcript has 4 exons.